This 338-nucleotide ribosomal RNA is filed under the name uncultured fungus. Its description in RNAcentral is "eukaryotic LSU rRNA". The stretch from base 1 to 72 matches the Rfam family "5.8S ribosomal RNA", at positions 84 to 154 of the family's 154-position model. The record is from RNAcentral. Lineage: Eukaryota; Fungi.
GUGAGUCAUCGAGUCUUUGAACGCAUCUUGCGCUCUCGGGUUAUUCCUGAGAGCAUGCCUGUUUGAGUGUCGCGAAACUCUCAACCCCGCUUCUGCUUUGGCAGAGGUUGCUUGGGCUUUGAAUCAUGACCUGUGCUGUUUUCGGACAGCUGGGUUGAAAUACAACAAGCUGAAUCUAUACGUGCGGCUUGACCUGUUGUUGUAACAUCCAAACGCAAUGGGAACGCAUGUCGGAAGGAGCUUUCCAAACGAGAUGACCGCAAAAGCUGGAGCUGUUCGCAGCGAAAGCGUUUGUGCAUUCUGACCUCAAAUCAGGUAGGACUACCCGCUGAACUUAA